GUGGCCAGCCGCCGCGGUAAUACCGGCAGCCCGAGUGAUGGCCGAUCUUAUUGGGCCUAAAGCGUCCGUAGCUGGCUACGCAAGUCCGUCGGGAAAUCCACUCGCCCAACGAGUGGGCGUCCGACGGAAACUGCAUAGCUUGGGACCGGAAGGCUCGAAGGGUACGUGCGGGGUAGGAGUGAAAUCCCAUAAUCCCGCACGGACCACCGAUGGCGAAAGCACUUCGAGAAAACGGAUCCGACAGUGAGGGACGAAAGCCAGGGUCUCCAGCCGGAUUAGAAACUCUGUAGUCC
This 293-nucleotide ribosomal RNA is filed under the name uncultured bacterium. RNAcentral's name for it is "partial 16S ribosomal RNA". It matches the Rfam family "Archaeal small subunit ribosomal RNA", at positions 455 to 747 of the family's 1478-position model. The record is from RNAcentral.